UAGGGAAUCUUCGGCAAUGGGGGGAACCCUGACCGAGCAACGCCGCGUGAGUGAAGAAGGUUUUCGGAUCGUAAAGCUCUGUUGUUCAGAAAGAAAGAGUGUGAGAAUGGACCGUUCAUGCUGUGCCGGUACUUAACAAGAAAGGGACGGCUACCUACGUGCCAGCAGCCGCGGUAAUACGUAGGUCCCGAGCGUUGUCCGGAUUUAUUGGGCGUAACGCGAGCGCAGGCGGUUAGAAAAGUCUGAAGUGAAAGGCAGUGGCUCAACCAUUGUAGGCGUUGGAAACUGUUUAACUGGAGUGCAGAAGGGGAGAGUGGAAUUCCAUGUGUAGCGGUGAAAUGCGUAGAUAUAUGGAGGAACACCGGUGGCGAAAGCGGCUCUCUGGUCUGUAACUGACGCUGAUGCUCGAAAGCGUGGGGAGCGAACAGG
RNAcentral lists this ribosomal RNA (429 nucleotides) under Bacteroidota bacterium. RNAcentral describes it as "Bacteroidetes bacterium partial 16S ribosomal RNA". It matches the Rfam family "Bacterial small subunit ribosomal RNA", at positions 355 to 776 of the family's 1533-position model. The record is from RNAcentral. Lineage: Bacteria; Pseudomonadati; Bacteroidota.